RNAcentral lists this long non-coding RNA (2733 nucleotides) under Sus scrofa (pig). Its description in RNAcentral is "lncRNA (ENSSSCG00040074575.1)". The record is from RNAcentral. Lineage: Eukaryota; Metazoa; Chordata; Mammalia; Artiodactyla; Suidae.
AGUACAGAGCAGAAAGAGGCACAGGCUCAGAGGUGUAGGGGACGCAGCACCAGGGGCUCCACAGAAAAGAGAAACCACUUCAAGCAUUUACAGCAAAGGGAACGGAUGCAGAGAAUUGGUUUCACAGGUGCUGAAAGACCUAAGAGGCCAAACAGAAGAAAAGAGAAGCCAGAAAUCAGCAACAGCCCUCUCGCGGGGUAUUGACAGGAGUGAAGGUGACUCUUGGGGACCAGCCAUUUAGAACCGUGUGGCCCCCUGGAGAGAGGGUGAAACCAUCCCCUCUAUAAUCUGCAAGGCCACUGCGGGACCAGGGACGCCGGGUGGAGUCACCAGGGGAGGGGGCCUGAUGGCUCUGUCCCCUUCAGACCUGUUCUUCUGAAGCCUUCCGUCAUCCUCUGCUGUGCGCAAGUGCUGGCACACCUUCCCUCCCGCCCAAAGACGCGGACUCGCCCGGGGCCCUCCAUCAGUCACCUCUCCUAAAGGUCACAUUCUCCCAUGGGUUUCUGCAAAGUCAUUGACCGCUCCUACUAAGUGCUAACCUCAAAUCUGCCUGGUGCUCAUACAGAUCCCGCUUUGGUGCCCACAACUCACUGUUCUACAGGAUGAACGUUCUACUGAAAUGAAAGAACGAGUAGUUUCUUUUUAGGAGUGGCAUGCUUCACUCCAAUCAAACGGGAAAGAUGUGUAAGAGCAUCUAUGGUUUCAAAUCCAUGAAGCCAAGUAAACCCCAAAUCAACUCUAGCCCUGCCUUGGGCACAGUGGGCAUAUUCAGUCUCUUCUCCACCUUAGGAUUUUCACCUGAAAAAAAAAAAAAAAUGAAAUAAUCACACUUACUAAUCUCAGAGUGCCAAUUGGUGGAUUUAACAGCGCCCUGAAAACGAGACUCUUCUGUUUAAUGAAGCAUCUCAUUCAAAGGUUCAUUCAGCUAAUAAAACCCCCGUUUUUCACUUGUGUUUGAAGCCAGGCCAUUAUUCUUUUGCGUGUGGUUUGAACCAGUUUUCCGUGAGCUGUGGUGGCUCCUGAGGAUGGAUAUGAAUGGCACUUAUUAGGAAGGGAAGAGCUCAUGAAUUCAGAUCAUCCUUAAUGCUGAAAUGAGCUGUAAUGAAGGCCUGAGAUCAAAGUGCUUGAGGAGCAACGGCAGAUGAAUGGGCCCCAGAGCCUGGUCCUGGGUCGCUGCAGAAAAGGAUUAGGAAACUUCACUUAAGUAGCCAGAAAGGUUUCCACAGACUAGCCUGCUUUGCAUUUAAUUGUUUAUGGGAUUCGUGGACGAAAGAUAUACAAAUAGCCUCCCUCAGAGAAAACGGUGUUAUCAGAUAUUUUCCACGAGGGAGAGGAAAGGCUUUAAAUUAGCAGCAAGAAGAACAGAAGCAAGGCCAUUCUUAACUCACAGGGUGGGGGGUAGGGGGGUGGAGGCCAAGGGAAGAGCCCAGACCCAGAAAGAGGGGGAGAAAGGGAAAGGAGGCGAGAGAAGGAGCACCCACCUAGCCUUCAGAAUAAGCACAGAGCCUCCUUCCAGGGAGAAGCAUAUGCCUCUUUUCCUAAAUACUGAACAUGAAGCAACACAGAGCGCCUGAAUUGCAGCCAGGCUCCCUCCCUGCCCCUCAUCGGAGCAGCAAGAUCCAGGGGGAAUGGAAAGCAGAUGCAGUGGCCUAAGUGCUCCAACGUUUCACUCUCCUCCUUGAAAAGAUGUCAAGGAGUAUUUGCGUUACCUCCCUGGAAAACGCAGAGACAUUCCCUUACAGGAUGAGUGAAAGAUGAGUACAAAGAGUUAAUUUGAAAUCAAUCAAGCCCUGUGUGUUCGUCUACUGCUUCAGAAAUCCUUCUAUUUUAAUGAUGAAUUUAUUUUCAAAGCAGUGCAGAUCCUUUUGAGGGGAAUUCCACCUCUCACAGCUGCGCAACGUGCCCUGCAGUGUUGAGCUUUCUCGCCCACCUGCUCUUUGUAAAACAGCGUGGACUUCCCGGAGCUGAGACAGUGCCAAGCUGGCUGAGGCUGCCGAAGAGCCAUCCUCAGCCUGCAGCCACCGAAGUGUCAGUGAGUACACCGCAAACCCCUGCAAAACAGGCAGAGCAACUUGGUGGAGCCACGCAACCACAUGGCAAAGCCACAGACUCCCUCUCACCUUGCAAAGGACCCUCUUGAAUUUUUUAUGGUUGAUCUGUUAACCUAACUUGGCUUCCCCUGCUGCCCUGUUCAAAAGCAAUUGCAUUGAAAAUAUUAUUGGCAAAAAUUUUUUCAAAACAUCACACCUGAAAAACGCUAAACGAAAUUCCCAUUUCAUAUUCCAAGUACAACUCCCGAAGAGACUAGAGGAUUCUAUCUACUUUAACCGGGAUAGAGCUGACAUGUUUGUUUUGAAACAGCAUCUGGCCAUGACUUUAAAAGCUCCACUUAAUAGCUUUUGGUUCCUUUUUUUCCCCGUCUCUUUUCGAAUACAUCUGAUUGCAAUAUUCUGAAAUUUAAAUGUGAUUGCUACGCAUUUGGUUAUCAACAAAGAAUUUCUAGAUUAAUGCAGAAGCACAUUUAAGAGGCAGAAUGCUGUCUCUUUGUGCCUUUGAGGGCAUCCAUGGUUUUAACUAGGAGGAUUAUGAGAUCUGACCCUUAGCAGUGAAAUACGCUUUGUUCCCCUCUGUAAAAAGAUUUGUCCUUCUAGCUCAUUAAGUCAUCUGAGAUCCACUGUUACUUAUCCACUCCCAAUGUUAUAGCAAACAUAACAUAAACAUUGUACCAAAGUA